AAAAUAAUACAGACGGCGUAAAGCACGACCAAAAUAAAAGUUAAACGUUAGAUAAUGAAACCAAGCUGGGCUGUAAAAAGCCAUAAGCCACAGUAACCACACCUAACACCAAACAAAUUCCACUCGUGAAAGUUAGGACACAAACUAAGAUUAGAUACCUUACUAUGCCUAACCGUAACAUAACAAUUAAAUCACCCAUUGUUCGCCAAAUAACUACGAGUAAAAACUUAAAAUUUAAAAGACUUGACGGUACCCCACAACAGCCUAGAGGAGCCUGUCUAUUAACCGAUACUCCACGAUUAACCUCACCGCCCCUGGCCAACCAGUCUAUAUACCGCCGUCGCCAGCUUACCUUGUGAAAGAAAAAAAGUAAGCAAAAUAGCAACCACACUAACACGACAGGUCGAGGUGUAACUAAUGGGGCGGGCCAAGAUGGGCUACAUUUUCUACUACAGAACAAACGAAUAAACUAUGAAAAAGAAACUGAAGGCGGAUUUAGUAGUACAUUGGGAACAAACAUACCCAAUCGAAACCUAUGCAAUGGGGUGCGUACACACCGCCCGUCAUCCCUGUUGACAAACAAAACUCAUCCAUAAA
Molecule: ribosomal RNA, 597 nt
Filed under: Platyceps variabilis
Lineage: Eukaryota; Metazoa; Chordata; Lepidosauria; Squamata; Colubridae
Description: partial 12S ribosomal RNA
Source: RNAcentral